CCCGCCACUAUGCCUGUCUGUCCUGUGACUGAGUAUAAUCCAGUGGAGGCUCAGAUUGACCCAGCUUUAGGAAACGGAGCUGUUCACACUAAUGGACCGCUCUGUGCCGAAAAGACUGGAACACAA
This is a small nucleolar RNA of Hippoglossus stenolepis (Pacific halibut), 126 nucleotides long. RefSeq annotates it as small nucleolar RNA SNORA65. The record is from RefSeq and is a predicted model, not a curated record. The transcript has a single exon. NCBI's taxonomy places the organism in Eukaryota, Metazoa, Chordata, Actinopteri, Pleuronectiformes, Pleuronectidae.